GGUAAUGUAGUUGUUCUUUCAAGUUGCUCAAACACCUUCUACAUCUUGGCCUUUAUUUCCUCUAGGAUAUCUCACCAUCUAUUUUUCAUCCAUCCAUCCAUCUGUCCAUCUGUCCAUCCAUCCCCCAACAAAUAGAUAUGAGGAAGCUGCUGCAUGCUGGUCACUGCUGCAUACUAGGGAUACAUCCAGUUACUGUUUACAUCUAGAUGUCCUCUAAGAGCCUAAUGAGUGCGUAGGCAGAACUUUUGGAAGACUGAAACUGCCAAAAUGUGAUCCAAAAUAAUUAUUUCCUUCUUUAAGUUGUGGGUGUCAGUCAUUGUGUUUCAGCGAUGAGGAAAGUGAAUCAGAUAAUCCACCUGUAAAUAAAAUGGACGAAUCUAUCUUAUCAGAAGUUGUGGGAGCAGCUGUACGGAAGGAACACAUACAAAAAUUUUACACUUGAUUGAAUGAGAAGGGUACUUGUAUAAGUGUGGGUGAGAGCAAUGGGAAGAAAUGUGGACACAGAUACAACUGAGAAGACUUGUGUAAGCUGCUGAUAAUGUGUUGGAAGCCAAGGGUGAGGUUAACUCAACCUUCCACAUCUGAAUUCAGAUAACUUUACAUUUAAGACACUGCGCCAUUU
Molecule: long non-coding RNA, 622 nt
Filed under: Heterocephalus glaber (naked mole-rat)
Lineage: Eukaryota; Metazoa; Chordata; Mammalia; Rodentia; Bathyergidae
Description: lncRNA (ENSHGLG00100052378.1)
Source: RNAcentral